This 566-nucleotide small RNA is filed under the name Pan troglodytes (chimpanzee). RNAcentral's name for it is "processed transcript". The record is from RNAcentral. Lineage: Eukaryota; Metazoa; Chordata; Mammalia; Primates; Hominidae.
ACUUCAUCUCCAUUUCACCCUGAAAGCUGCAAUACCAUGGGGGUGUUGGUGAUCGUGACUUGUUGAAAAGGCUGCUAAGCAGAUAAAUGCAUUAGUGAAGAUUUAUUAUAUUUGAGAGAUUCAGAAGGGUGACAGGCUAAAGCUAAUUGAUGAACAUUGCCCUACCAAAUAAAUAAACCCUACAGUGAAGUGUCUUGUGGGCCCAUUGGCCCAGUGGCUAUGUACAAUACGGGAACCCCAAGCAAAAAACCUCAAGGCCAGGGAAGGUACACAGUUAGCUGGAACUUCAGAUCUCAGGUCUGACUUCUUAAGCAAGGCCUAUGAGACAAGUCAGAUAAAUACUGAUUGAAGAGGAAUCUAUACAUGGCUGAAAUGUACCUAUUAAACACAAAAAAAGAACUGACGAUGUUUUCCUACCCAAUAUGGCAGAAAAUGUUCAACUGACAGCUUUUCAGGUUCAAACAGCUCCAUCCAGAUUCCCAUUUAGAGCUGACUGGUGAUGAUAUCUUCUUUUUCCAACCUUUAUUUCUAUGAGUAUUUGAAUGAAUAAAAAUGACUCCAAAUGC